GAUGAACGCUAGCUACAGGCUUAACACAUGCAAGUCGAGGGGCAGCAUGAACUUAGCUUGCUAAGUUUGAUGGCGACCGGCGCACGGGUGAGUAACACGUAUCCAACCUGCCGAUGACUCGGGGAUAGCCUUUCGAAAGAAAGAUUAAUACCCGAUGGCAUAGUUCUUCCGCAUGGUGGAACUAUUAAAGAAUUUCGGUCAUCGAUGGGGAUGCGUUCCAUUAGGUUGUUGGCGGGGUAACGGCCCACCAAGCCUUCGAUGGAUAGGGGUUCUGAGAGGAAGGUCCCCCACAUUGGAACUGAGACACGGUCCAAACUCCUACGGGAGGCAGCAGUGAGGAAUAUUGGUCAAUGGACGAGAGUCUGAACCAGCCAAGUAGCGUGAAGGAUGACUGCCUAUGGUUGUAAACUGCUUUAUAAGGUAAUAAGUGAGUCUCGUGAGACUUUUUGCAUGUACCUUAUGUAAUAA
RNAcentral lists this ribosomal RNA (468 nucleotides) under uncultured bacterium. RNAcentral's name for it is "bacterial SSU rRNA". It matches the Rfam family "Bacterial small subunit ribosomal RNA", at positions 28 to 490 of the family's 1533-position model. The record is from RNAcentral.